AGCCCCAAGGUGUACAACAUAUGAGAUUGCAAAUCUUAAGAGGCAGACUAACACCUGCUGGGGCUU
RNAcentral lists this transfer RNA (66 nucleotides) under Cottus gulosus (riffle sculpin). RNAcentral describes it as "tRNA-Cys". The record is from RNAcentral. Lineage: Eukaryota; Metazoa; Chordata; Actinopteri; Perciformes; Cottidae.